Molecule: long non-coding RNA, 768 nt
Organism: Bos taurus (domestic cattle)
Lineage: Eukaryota; Metazoa; Chordata; Mammalia; Artiodactyla; Bovidae
Source: Ensembl
UUGCUGAAGCUCCACAUCUGUAUUUCAUUUAUGCUCACGAUGAGCCCAGAAGCAAAUUACCGUUAUCCCUGCUUUCUGGAUGAAGUUCAGAGAAGCCGAGUAACUCGCCUAAGGGAACAGAGUUGGGCGAUGCAGUCGCCUUGUCCCGCCUGGGCAAGUUCAAGAACCACAGGAGGGGUGGAUUCUUUUCCUGCUGAGCCAGGGAAGGGAAGACUUCAUGGAGGGAACUGUCAGUGUAAAAAUGAUAGCUCCUGUUCUCAAGGAGACAUUUUCUUGGCUAUGUUCUGGAUAUUGAGAUUACUAAAUGGAGAAGAUAGAAGCCAUGGUUCCAAGGAGGGCAUGGGACAUAUCAGGGGAACUCGGUCCAGCUGGAGCGGCGUGCUUCCUCCCGGGCCAGGGCUGCGGCAGUGGCCGACCGUCCCUGGCCAGAGCUGCUCAACCCCCGCCGGCAGCGCCCACUCCCCCCAGGGACUACCGGACCCGGGCCAGGGACAGCAGACACCUAGGCUGAGCCUGGAACUAGACAGCCCCCGACCUCCGCAGCGCGCACGCUGUAGUCUCGCCUCACCCCACCCGCCACCCGUCUUCAGUGUCUCCUCGCGCCUUCUCCCCAGGGUCUGCGCCGGUCCUCCACACCUUCACACAGGUCUCGGUCUGUGCUGUAACACCGGCCUCAUUCCCGGCGCUCGGCUCGGGUCAACGUCUGCUGAGCUUCCAGAGGAAGCUCAUUCACCGCAUAGUUGGAUAGGGGAGGAGUUGGGGCGGGGG